AUGGCGAGAGGACUGGAUUCAGAUUAUAUUGGUUCUAUUUCGCUCAUGGAUGGAUUUGAUAUGGGUAUCACGUUUGAUGGGUUUGGAGAAAAUAUGAAGAAGUUCAUGGAGUUACCGAUCAAAUAUCUUGAUUCUGCUCACGAUAAAGCUGUUGAGCUAGUUGAGGAUAUCCAUGCGCUGAUUUACGCUCACUCUCCUGAUGAUAAAUUUCCGGACAAAGACCAUGGGACAUUAACGGAUCCAUCUAAUAACGGUGCCAUAACCGGAUCUCCCUCCACACGUGUUAAAAUGCAGCAAGUUAACCCUAACGAAGGAUUCUCUGGUUAUCCUUCAUCUCUCGUUACCGCGGAAGACCGUUCUCUCGGCUCAACUGCUACUGAUGUUCAUGAAACUGAGUCUGUUUCAUCUACAACUCCAGCCAUGUGUGCUUCUGAAGACUCCAUUUCACUUGAGAGAACUGCUGACACCAAGGAGGAAGUUGCUUUUUGCAAUUCAGAGGAUCUCUCCAAUAACUGCGCUCCUGAAAAUCACAAUUCACUAGGGGGAUCUGUUAGCAGUGAGGAGGAAAUUAUAUUAUGGAAUCAAUGGAAUUCUGUAACACCACGACAAUCACCUGAGCUAGCCACCGUAGUCCAAGAUUAUGUAUCUGAAGAAGCGAACGGAAAUAAAAUCAUCGAGCAAGUUGAACUCCCUGGUUCAGGACCUUCAGCUGCUUUUGAUGGAGCAAUUCUGCUUGGAAAGGGAAAUGAUGAAGAGCAAUCAGAAUUAUGCAGUGAGAACAGCCAUGAAGAAUCAACAAAGCACGGUUACAUAAAGAAUUUGUCUGUUGGGUCUGUUUCACAUUACUUGAGUGCAGAGGUGUUCGCUGCUGCUGAUGAUCCAAAUAUGUCUACUGACGAGGCCACAGAUUUUGUUAAUGUAGACCUCCGGGAUGGCCAGGAGCAGAUGAAAUAUAACAAAGCAGAGGCAUCCUCGGUUCCUCAACCAAAAAACACAUCAUUCAAGAAAGUGUUGAUGAGGAGCUUGUCGAAUAAACUCCGGUGGUCAAAGAAGGAUAUGAAUGUGCAUCAGGCCGUCCCCUUUAGACCACAGAAAUCAGUAGAUGUUUGCUAUGAAGUAGUUUGUUCAUCAGAUGGUCUGGAGGAUGAUUGGGAACUCUUAUAA
Molecule: ribosomal RNA, 1164 nt
Filed under: Triticum aestivum (bread wheat)
Lineage: Eukaryota; Viridiplantae; Streptophyta; Magnoliopsida; Poales; Poaceae
Description: partial small subunit ribosomal RNA
Source: RNAcentral